Molecule: ribosomal RNA, 408 nt
Filed under: uncultured bacterium
Lineage: Bacteria
Description: partial 16S ribosomal RNA
Rfam family: Bacterial small subunit ribosomal RNA
Source: RNAcentral
GACGAACGCUGGCGGCGUGCUUAACACAUGCAAGUCGAACGAAGUGGCGAACGGUUGAGUAAUACGUGGGUAACCUGCCCUCCUUUUUGGAAUAAGCCUUGGAAACGGUGUCAAAUACCGAAUACAGUGGGAGGGGCUCGCGGCCUAUCGGCUUGUUGUGGGGGUGAUGGUCUACCAAGGCGGUGCCGGGUAGCGGGCCUGAGAGGGUGACCGGCCACAUUGGGACGGAGCGACGGCCUAGACGCGUACGCGAUGGAGAAGUGGGGGAUAUUGCAGAAUGGGCGACAGAGUGAUGCAGCGUCGCCGCGUGGGGGAUGAAGGCCGUCGGGUUGUGAAGCUAUUUCGCAAUCGAACGGGUAGGUGGAGAAGAAGCGCCGGCUAACUACGUGCCAGCAGCCGCGGUAAUUC